RNAcentral lists this ribosomal RNA (303 nucleotides) under uncultured bacterium. RNAcentral's name for it is "partial 16S ribosomal RNA". It matches the Rfam family "Bacterial small subunit ribosomal RNA", at positions 507 to 809 of the family's 1533-position model. The record is from RNAcentral.
AGCAGCAGCCGCGGUAAUACGGAGGAUCCAAGCGUUAUCCGGAAUCAUUGGGUUUAAAGGGUCCGUAGGCGGUCUUGUAAGUCAGUGGUGAAAGCCCAUCGCUCAACGGUGGAACGGCCAUUGAUACUGCAGGACUUGAAUUAUUGGGAAGUAACUAGAAUAUGUAGUGUAGCGGUGAAAUGCUUAGAGAUUACAUGGAAUACCAAUUGCGAAGGCAGGUUACUACCAAUUGAUUGACGCUGAUGGACGAAAGCGUGGGUAGCGAACAGGAUUAGAUACCCCUGUAGUCCCUGUCUCUUAUAA